RNAcentral lists this ribosomal RNA (774 nucleotides) under uncultured Neocallimastigales. RNAcentral describes it as "partial large subunit ribosomal RNA". It matches the Rfam family "Eukaryotic large subunit ribosomal RNA", at positions 26 to 614 of the family's 3401-position model. Lineage: Eukaryota; Fungi; Neocallimastigomycota; Neocallimastigomycetes; Neocallimastigales. The record is from RNAcentral.
CGCAUCUGUGCAUGCAGCAUAUCAAUAAGCGGAGGAAAAGAAACUAACAAGGAUUCCCCUAGUAACGGCGAGUGAAGCGGGAAGAGCUCAAAUUUGAAAUCUUAAAGGGCUUCCCUUUACGAAUUGUAGUUUAAAGAAGUGUUUUCUGUUGAGGUUUUGGUAAAAGUUCUUUGGAAUAGGACAUCAUAGAGGGUGAGAAUCCCGUAUUUGACCUUUACUUUCAACUUUGUGAUACACUUUCAAAGAGUCGGAUUGUUUGGGAAUGCAGUCCAAAAUGGGUGGUAAAUUUCAUCUAAAGCUAAAUAUUGGCGAGAGACCGAUAGCGAACAAGUACCGUGAGGGAAAGAUGAAAAGAACUUUGAAAAGAGAGUUAAACAGUACGUGAAAUCGUCAAAAGGGAAGCGUUUGACACCAGUGUUGUUUUUCGGAAAAUCAAUUAAAGAACUGUUUAUGCUAAGUUGUUUAGACUUUAUCAGCUAACUGUUUAGUUUUGAGCUUUUCUUUAAUGCACUUUUCAGUUAACAAGUCAACAUCAAUUUCUUUUGCUGUAAAAAAGCUUGAGGAAGGUGGCUUGAGAUUCGUCUUAAGUGUUUAUAGCCUCUUGCCUAUGCAGUCGGAGAGAUUGAGGUCUGCAGCGUAGAUCCUUCGGGGCUAAAUGCAUUUGUGCUAAGUUAUAGCAUUUUAUAGACAACUUGUUGACUAUGAUUUGUCUUGUAGCUUACUCGCUUAUGUUAUUUUACCUACGCUUAGGAUGUUGAACGCGCACAGAGUCUC